This 162-nucleotide ribosomal RNA is filed under the name Cladosporium limoniforme. RNAcentral's name for it is "5.8S ribosomal RNA". It matches the Rfam family "5.8S ribosomal RNA". From Rfam's summary of the family: 5.8S ribosomal RNA (5.8S rRNA) is a component of the large subunit of the eukaryotic ribosome. It is transcribed by RNA polymerase I as part of the 45S precursor that also contains 18S and 28S rRNA. Lineage: Eukaryota; Fungi; Ascomycota; Dothideomycetes; Cladosporiales; Cladosporiaceae. The record is from RNAcentral.
AAAUUAAAACUUUUAACAACGGAUCUCUUGGUUCUGGCAUCGAUGAAGAACGCAGCGAAAUGCGAUAAGUAAUGUGAAUUGCAGAAUUCAGUGAAUCAUCGAAUCUUUGAACGCACAUUGCGCCCCCUGGUAUUCCGGGGGGCAUGCCUGUUCGAGCGUCAU